UGCUAAAACAGCUCUUUUAGAAAUUGUCUAGCUGGUUUUCUGAAAUUAUUUUUGGAAAAGCCUAG
Rattus norvegicus (Norway rat) is the source of this 65-nucleotide small nuclear RNA. Ensembl annotates it as U7 small nuclear RNA. The record is from Ensembl. Lineage: Eukaryota; Metazoa; Chordata; Mammalia; Rodentia; Muridae.